RNAcentral lists this ribosomal RNA (253 nucleotides) under uncultured bacterium. RNAcentral describes it as "partial 16S ribosomal RNA". It matches the Rfam family "Bacterial small subunit ribosomal RNA", at positions 524 to 776 of the family's 1533-position model. The record is from RNAcentral.
UACGAAGGGGGCUAGCGUUGUUCGGAAUUACUGGGCGUAAAGCGCGCGUAGGCGGGUGAUUAAGUCAGGGGUGAAAUGCCGAGGCUCAACCUCGGAACUGCCUUUGAUACUGGUCGCCUGGAGUUCGGGAGAGGUAAGUGGAAUUCCGAGUGUAGAGGUGAAAUUCGUAGAUAUUCGGAGGAACACCAGAAGCGAAGGCGGCUUACUGGCCCGAUACUGACGCUGAGGCGCGAAAGCGUGGGGAGCAAACGGG